Molecule: ribosomal RNA, 433 nt
Filed under: uncultured bacterium
Lineage: Bacteria
Description: partial 16S ribosomal RNA
Rfam family: Bacterial small subunit ribosomal RNA
Source: RNAcentral
AACGAACGCUGGCGGCAGGCCUAACACAUGCAAGUCGAGCGAAGACUUCGGUUCUAUCCGCGGACGGGUGAGUAACGCGUGGGGAUGUUCCCUUCUCUACGGCAUAGCUCUGGGAAACUGGGAGUAAUACCGUAUACGCCCUAUUGGGGAAAGAUUUAUCGAAGAAGGUUCAGCACGCGUUGGAUUCGGUUGUUGGUGGGGUAAUGGCCUACCAAGCCGAGGAUCCAUAGAUUGUUUGAGAGGAUGAUCAGCGACACUGGGACUGAGACACGGCCCAGACUCCUACGCACUGCGGCCGUGGGUGGCCGUGGCCCAUGGCGGCAGCCAUGAUCGAGCCAUGCCGGGUGAGUGAUGAAGGCCUGAGGGUAGUAAAGCGUUUUCAGCUGGGACGGUAAUGACGGUCCCUGCUGAAGCAGCCACGGCUCCCUCCGUG